AGCCCAUGGUGUGGAUAUUUUCGAAACAAAUCUAUAAACUUUUCCCAUGCUUCAUAUAAUGAUUCACCAUCCAAUUGACUGAAAGUAGUAAUAUCCAUUCUAAAUUU
Small nucleolar RNA from Coffea eugenioides, 107 nucleotides. The record is from RefSeq and is a predicted model, not a curated record. Lineage: Eukaryota; Viridiplantae; Streptophyta; Magnoliopsida; Gentianales; Rubiaceae.